RNAcentral lists this transfer-messenger RNA (351 nucleotides) under Acidimicrobiales. Its description in RNAcentral is "Bog-756 sp015478655 Standard tmRNA". It matches the Rfam family "transfer-messenger RNA". Rfam says of the family: Bacterial tmRNA, also known as 10Sa RNA or SsrA, is named for its dual tRNA and mRNA-like properties. RNAcentral also lists the same sequence under 1 other name. The record is from RNAcentral. Lineage: Bacteria; Bacillati; Actinomycetota; Acidimicrobiia.
GGGGGUGACAGGCUUCGACUCUGGUCGUCGAUGUGGGAGAAGCGAGCCGUGGUCUCCGGAGCCACGUUAAAGAGCCGGAACAAAAAACAAACGCCGAGCCUCAGCUCGCGCUCGCUGCCUAGAAACAGCGACGUCCGACCGGUCUCAGUCCUGCGGGCCGGAUCCGGGCGACAUCAAGUGGGACUUACCUGAGCGGUUGCGCCGACUGAUCACCAGGGACAUCUAAGUCGGAUACGGACCGCCGCUGCCGCCGGUAGCGGUGGUGGUCCCGACAAUCCAACACCGGCUGCGCUCGGAGAAGACCCACUGAGAAGCCGGAGGACGCGGGUUCGAUUCCCGCCACCUCCACGA